RNAcentral lists this ribosomal RNA (459 nucleotides) under Pycnococcus provasolii. RNAcentral's name for it is "partial Bacterial small subunit ribosomal RNA". It matches the Rfam family "Bacterial small subunit ribosomal RNA", at positions 1071 to 1532 of the family's 1533-position model. Lineage: Eukaryota; Viridiplantae; Chlorophyta; Pseudoscourfieldiophyceae; Pseudoscourfieldiales; Pycnococcaceae. The record is from RNAcentral.
GAUGUUGGGUUAAGUCCCGCAACGAGCGCAACCCUUGUCAUUAGUUGCUACAUUUAGUUGGGCACUCUAGUGAGACUGCCGGUGACAAACCGGAGGAAGGUGGGGAUGACGUCAAGUCCUCAUGGCCCUUACGGGCUGGGCUACACACGUGCUACAAUGGCGGUGACAGUGGGAUGCAAAGGGGCGACCCCUCGCAAAUCUCCAAAAGCCAUCUCAGUUCGGAUUGCACUCUGCAACUCGGGUGCAUGAAGGUGGAAUCGCUAGUAAUCGUGGAUCAGCAUGCCACGGUGAAUACGUUCCCGGGCCUUGUACACACCGCCCGUCAAGUCAUGAAAGUCGGUAACACCCGAAGCCGGUGGCCCAACCCUUGUGGAGGGAGCUGUCGAAGGUGGGACUGGCGAUUGGGACUAAGUCGGAACAAGGUAGCCGUACCGGAAGGUGCGGCUGGAUCACCUCCUU